GAUGAACGCUGGCGGCGUGCUUAACACAUGCAAGUCUAACGAUGAAGCCCAGCUUGCUGGGUGGAUUAGUGGCGAACGGGUGAGUAACACGUGAGUAACCUGCCCUUAACUCUGGGAUAAGCCUGGGAAACUGGGUCUAAUACCGGAUAGGAGCGCCUACCGCAUGGUGGGUGUUGGAAAGAUUUAUCGGUUUUGGAUGGACUCGCGGCCUAUCAGCUUGUUGGUGAGGUAAUGGCUCACCAAGGCGACGACGGGUAGCCGGCCUGAGAGGGUGACCGGCCACACUGGGACUGAGACACGGACCAGACUCCUACGGGAGGCAGCAGUGGGGAAUAUUGCACAAUGGGCGAAAGCCUGAUGCAGCGACGCCGCGUGAGGGAUGACGGCCUUCGGGUUGUAAACCUCUUUCAGUAGGGAAGAAGCGAAAGUGACGGUACCUGCAGAAGAAGCACCGGCUAACUACGUG
This 466-nucleotide ribosomal RNA is filed under the name uncultured bacterium. Its description in RNAcentral is "partial 16S ribosomal RNA". It matches the Rfam family "Bacterial small subunit ribosomal RNA", at positions 28 to 507 of the family's 1533-position model. The record is from RNAcentral.